AGAGUUUGAUCCUGGCUCAGAACGAACGCUAGCGGGAUGCCUCAAACAUGCAAGUCGCACGCGAAAGGGGGCAACUCCGAGUAGAGUGGCGCACGGGUGAGUAACACGUAGCUAACGUACCCUCACGCUGGGGAUAACUCCGGGAAACCGGAGCUAAUACCGAAUGUGCUGUCGAGGUCUGCGGACCUUGCCGGCAAAGCCGUAAGGCGCGAGAGGAUCGGGCUGCGGCCCAUUAGCUUGUUGGUGGGGUAAUGGCCCACCAAGGCGACGAUGGGUAGCUGGUCUGAGAGGACGAUCAGCCACACUGGAACUGAAACACGGUCCAGACUCCCACGGGAGGCAGCAGUUGGGAAUUUUGCACAAUGGAGGAAACUCUGAUGCAGCAAUCCCGCGUGAGUGAUGAAGGCCUUCGGGUCGUAAAGCUCUUUUAGCAGGGAAGAAGGGUAACUUGACGGUACCUGCAGAAAAAGCACCGGCUACUAGUGCAAGCAGCCGCGGUAAUAC
RNAcentral lists this ribosomal RNA (504 nucleotides) under uncultured bacterium. RNAcentral describes it as "bacterial SSU rRNA". It matches the Rfam family "Bacterial small subunit ribosomal RNA", at positions 8 to 526 of the family's 1533-position model. The record is from RNAcentral.